AGGGUUGUGGCUCAGCGGUAGAGUGCUCGCCUUGCAUGUGUGAGGCCCUGGGUUCUAUCCUCAGCACCACAU
This 72-nucleotide transfer RNA is filed under the name Ictidomys tridecemlineatus (thirteen-lined ground squirrel). Its description in RNAcentral is "Spermophilus tridecemlineatus (thirteen-lined ground squirrel) tRNA". It matches the Rfam family "tRNA". Rfam says of the family: Transfer RNA (tRNA) molecules are approximately 80 nucleotides in length. Their secondary structure includes four short double-helical elements and three loops (D, anti-codon, and T loops). Lineage: Eukaryota; Metazoa; Chordata; Mammalia; Rodentia; Sciuridae. The record is from Rfam by way of RNAcentral.